GGGUUGUGAGGUUAAGCGACUAAGCGUACACGGUGGAUGCCCUGGCAGUCAGAGGCGAUGAAGGACGUGCUAAUCUGCGAUAAGCGUCGGUAAGGUGAUAUGAACCGUUAUAACCGGCGAUUUCCGAAUGGGGAAACCCAGUGUGUUUCGACACACUAUCAUUAACUGAAUCCAUAGGUUAAUGAGGCGAACCGGGGGAACUGAAACAUCUAAGUACCCCGAGGAAAAGAAAUCAACCGAGAUUCCCCCAGUAGCGGCGAGCGAACGGGGAGGAGCCCAGAGUCUGAAUCAGUGUGUGUGUUAGUGGAAGCGUCUGGAAAGGCGCGCGAUACAGGGUGACAGCCCCGUACACAAAAAUGCACAUAUUGUGAGCUCGAUGAGUAGGGCGGGACACGUGGUAUCCUGUCUGAAUAUGGGGGGACCAUCCUCCAAGGCUAAAUACUCCUGACUGACCGAUAGUGAACCAGUACCGUGAGGGAAAGGCGAAAAGAACCCCGGCGAGGGGAGUGAAAAAGAACCUGAAACCGUGUACGUACAAGCAGUGGGAGCCUCUUUUAUGGGGUGACUGCGUACCUUUUGUAUAAUGGGUCAGCGACUUAUAUUCUGUAGCAAGGUUAACCGAAUAGGGGAGCCGAAGGGAAACCGAGUCUUAACUGGGCGUUAAGUUGCAGGGUAUAGACCCGAAACCCGGUGAUCUAGCCAUGGGCAGGUUGAAGGUUGGGUAACACUAACUGGAGGACCGAACCGACUAAUGUUGAAAAAUUAGCGGAUGACUUGUGGCUGGGGGUGAAAGGCCAAUCAAACCGGGAGAUAGCUGGUUCUCCCCGAAAGCUAUUUAGGUAGCGCCUCGUGAAUUCAUCUCCGGGGGUAGAGCACUGUUUCGGCAAGGGGGUCAUCCCGACUUACCAACCCGAUGCAAACUGCGAAUACCGGAGAAUGUUAUCACGGGAGACACACGGCGGGUGCUAACGUCCGUCGUGAAGAGGGAAACAACCCAGACCGCCAGCUAAGGUCCCAAAGUCAUGGUUAAGUGGGAAACGAUGUGGGAAGGCCCAGACAGCCAGGAUGUUGGCUUAGAAGCAGCCAUCAUUUAAAGAAAGCGUAAUAGCUCACUGGUCGAGUCGGCCUGCGCGGAAGAUGUAACGGGGCUAAACCAUGCACCGAAGCUGCGGCAGCGACGCUUAUGCGUUGUUGGGUAGGGGAGCGUUCUGUAAGCCUGUGAAGGUGUGCUGUGAGGCAUGCUGGAGGUAUCAGAAGUGCGAAUGCUGACAUAAGUAACGAUAAAGCGGGUGAAAAGCCCGCUCGCCGGAAGACCAAGGGUUCCUGUCCAACGUUAAUCGGGGCAGGGUGAGUCGACCCCUAAGGCGAGGCCGAAAGGCGUAGUCGAUGGGAAACAGGUUAAUAUUCCUGUACUUGGUGUUACUGCGAAGGGGGGACGGAGAAGGCUAUGUUGGCCGGGCGACGGUUGUCCCGGUUUAAGCGUGUAGGCUGGUUUUCCAGGCAAAUCCGGAAAAUCAAGGCUGAGGCGUGAUGACGAGGCACUACGGUGCUGAAGCAACAAAUGCCCUGCUUCCAGGAAAAGCCUCUAAGCAUCAGGUAACAUCAAAUCGUACCCCAAACCGACACAGGUGGUCAGGUAGAGAAUACCAAGGCGCUUGAGAGAACUCGGGUGAAGGAACUAGGCAAAAUGGUGCCGUAACUUCGGGAGAAGGCACGCUGAUAUGUAGGUGAAGUCCCUUGCGGAUGGAGCUGAAAUCAGUCGAAGAUACCAGCUGGCUGCAACUGUUUAUUAAAAACACAGCACUGUGCAAACACGAAAGUGGACGUAUACGGUGUGACGCCUGCCCGGUGCCGGAAGGUUAAUUGAUGGGGUCAGCGCAAGCGAAGCUCUUGAUCGAAGCCCCGGUAAACGGCGGCCGUAACUAUAACGGUCCUAAGGUAGCGAAAUUCCUUGUCGGGUAAGUUCCGACCUGCACGAAUGGCGUAAUGAUGGCCAGGCUGUCUCCACCCGAGACUCAGUGAAAUUGAACUCGCUGUGAAGAUGCAGUGUACCCGCGGCAAGACGGAAAGACCCCGUGAACCUUUACUAUAGCUUGACACUGAACAUUGAGCCUUGAUGUGUAGGAUAGGUGGGAGGCUUUGAAGUGUGGACGCCAGUCUGCAUGGAGCCGACCUUGAAAUACCACCCUUUAAUGUUUGAUGUUCUAACGUGGACCCGUGAUCCGGGUUGCGGACAGUGUCUGGUGGGUAGUUUGACUGGGGCGGUCUCCUCCUAAAGAGUAACGGAGGAGCACGAAGGUUGGCUAAUCCUGGUCGGACAUCAGGAGGUUAGUGCAAUGGCAUAAGCCAGCUUGACUGCGAGCGUGACGGCGCGAGCAGGUGCGAAAGCAGGUCAUAGUGAUCCGGUGGUUCUGAAUGGAAGGGCCAUCGCUCAACGGAUAAAAGGUACUCCGGGGAUAACAGGCUGAUACCGCCCAAGAGUUCAUAUCGACGGCGGUGUUUGGCACCUCGAUGUCGGCUCAUCACAUCCUGGGGCUGAAGUAGGUCCCAAGGGUAUGGCUGUUCGCCAUUUAAAGUGGUACGCGAGCUGGGUUUAGAACGUCGUGAGACAGUUCGGUCCCUAUCUGCCGUGGGCGCUGGAGAACUGAGGGGGGCUGCUCCUAGUACGAGAGGACCGGAGUGGACGCAUCACUGGUGUUCGGGUUGUCAUGCCAAUGGCACUGCCCGGUAGCUAAAUGCGGAAGAGAUAAGUGCUGAAAGCAUCUAAGCACGAAACUUGCCCCGAGAUGAGUUCUCCCUGACCCUUUAAGGGUCCUGAAGGAACGUUGAAGACGACGACGUUGAUAGGCCGGGUGUGUAAGCGCAGCGAUGCGUUGAGCUAACCGGUACUAAUGAACCGUGAGGCUUAACCUUACAACGCCGAAG
Molecule: ribosomal RNA, 2925 nt
Filed under: Escherichia coli
Lineage: Bacteria; Pseudomonadati; Pseudomonadota; Gammaproteobacteria; Enterobacterales; Enterobacteriaceae
Description: 23S ribosomal RNA
Rfam family: Bacterial large subunit ribosomal RNA
Source: RNAcentral